Long non-coding RNA from Pistacia vera, 636 nucleotides. RefSeq lists it as uncharacterized. Lineage: Eukaryota; Viridiplantae; Streptophyta; Magnoliopsida; Sapindales; Anacardiaceae. The transcript has 4 exons. The record is from RefSeq and is a predicted model, not a curated record.
UACAUUCGAAUGAAGUUUUCAUAAUCUCUGUUCUUUUAAGUGAACUGCUUCUUCAUUCUUUCAACAGUUUUGGGUGAAAGGUCAGAGAAAUAUAUUUCUGUUAAUUUUUUAUAAAUUAAAAUAGAAGUUGAUGGAAGGAAGAUGGUGUGCGGCAGUGAACUUUGACUCUAUGACAGUUGACAGAUAUUUCAGGAGUUGGGUAAUUGAUGAAGGCCAAUCUUAUCAAUGAUCCAGAGGGCUUAAGACCAGAGAUAAUCGAGACCUAGAGCGGAACAGGUGGAAAGCAAGUGGACUACAUGAACUAGGCUUCCUGGUAUUCUGAUAUGGUUUCAGUUUAAUUUUGGUUGUUGAGGUUCACUUAAAGCAAGGCAUCAUUGUAGAGGCGUAUCAUUUUUCCAUACAUUAGUAAUUCUCAUUGGGAGAUUGGCCAGGCCAGAUCUCAGCCUGAGCCUCUUUCUCCUCCACGCCGCCCUUCCUAGCCAAGUCGAUUUAUUAUGCUCGUCGAGAUGAGAUGGAGGAUGAAAUUUAAUUGGAAGAUUUCUGUAAAGGAAUUUUGGUUGUUUGGAUGAUUAUUUCUGUUAAGCCAAUUCUUUGUUUGUAUUGAAUAAUAUGGUAAUGAUAAAAGCUUUCACAUCU